UCUUGGUCAUUUAGAGGAAGUAAAAGUCGUAACAAGGUUUCCGUAGGUGAACCUGCGGAAGGAUCAUUACCUAGAGUUUGUAGACUUCGGUCUGCUACCUCUUACCCAUGUCUUUUGAGUACCUUCGUUUCCUCGGCGGGUCCGCCCGCCGAUUGGACAACAUUCAAACCCUUUGCAGUUGCAAUCAGCGUCUGAAAAAACAUAAUAGUUACAACUUUCAACAACGGAUCUCUUGGUUCUGGCAUCGAUGAAGAACGCAGCGAAAUGCGAUAAGUAGUGUGAAUUGCAGAAUUCAGUGAAUCAUCGAAUCUUUGAACGCACAUUGCGCCCCUUGGUAUUCCAUGGGGCAUGCCUGUUCGAGCGUCAUUUGUACCUUCAAGCUCUGCUUGGUGUUGGGUGUUUGUCUCGCCUCUGCGUGUAGACUCGCCUUAAAACAAUUGGCAGCCGGCGUAUUGAUUUCGGAGCGCAGUACAUCUCGCGCUUUGCACUCAUAACGACGACGUCCAAAAGUACAUUUUUACACUCUUGACCUCGGAUCAGGUAGGGAUACCCGCUGAACUUAAGCAUAUCAAUAAGCGGAGGA
Molecule: ribosomal RNA, 583 nt
Filed under: uncultured Epicoccum
Lineage: Eukaryota; Fungi; Ascomycota; Dothideomycetes; Pleosporales; Leptosphaeriaceae
Description: eukaryotic LSU rRNA
Rfam family: 5.8S ribosomal RNA (bases 213-366)
Source: RNAcentral